Molecule: transfer RNA, 75 nt
Filed under: Odocoileus virginianus texanus
Lineage: Eukaryota; Metazoa; Chordata; Mammalia; Artiodactyla; Cervidae
Also listed under: 1 other name
Rfam family: tRNA
About the family: Transfer RNA (tRNA) molecules are approximately 80 nucleotides in length. Their secondary structure includes four short double-helical elements and three loops (D, anti-codon, and T loops). Further hydrogen bonds mediate the characteristic L-shaped molecular structure. tRNAs have two regions of fundamental functional importance: the anti-codon, which is responsible for specific mRNA codon recognition, and the 3' end, to which the tRNAs corresponding amino acid is attached (by aminoacyl-tRNA synthetases). tRNAs cope with the degeneracy of the genetic code in two manners: having more than one tRNA (with a specific anti-codon) for a particular amino acid; and 'wobble' base-pairing, i.e. permitting non-standard base-pairing at the 3rd anti-codon position.
Source: Rfam by way of RNAcentral
UCCCUGCUGGCUCAGCUGGUGGUAAAGAAUCCACCUGCAAUGUGGGAGACCUGGGUUCGAUCCCUGGGUUGGGAA